RNAcentral lists this unclassified non-coding RNA (173 nucleotides) under uncultured Borrelia sp. RNAcentral describes it as "partial miscellaneous RNA". Lineage: Bacteria; Pseudomonadati; Spirochaetota; Spirochaetia; Spirochaetales; Borreliaceae. The record is from RNAcentral.
UUUUUAUUUUAUACUUUAAACCUUGAAUUUAUUUUUUAAAUGUUUAUAUUAUUUGAAUAAAACAUUCAAAUAAUAUAAGAAAUAAUAUGUUUAUUGACAUGGAUUAAACAAAGAUAUAUAUUAUUCUAUGUUGUAUGAACAAAUUGGCAAAAUAGAGAUGGAAGAUAAAAAUA